This 431-nucleotide ribosomal RNA is filed under the name Tamlana sp. ini12. Its description in RNAcentral is "bacterial SSU rRNA". It matches the Rfam family "Bacterial small subunit ribosomal RNA", at positions 91 to 521 of the family's 1533-position model. The record is from RNAcentral. Lineage: Bacteria; Pseudomonadati; Bacteroidota; Flavobacteriia; Flavobacteriales; Flavobacteriaceae.
ACGACCGGCGCACGGGUGCGUAACGCGUAUGCAAUCUACCUUUUGCUACUGGAUAGCCCAGAGAAAUUUGGAUUAACACAGUAUAGUAUCAUAUUACUGCAUGGUAUUUAUGAUUAAAGGCUACGGCAGAAGAUGAGCAUGCGUCCUAUUAGCUAGUUGGUGUGGUAACGGCAUACCAAGGCAACGAUAGGUAGGGGCCCUGAGAGGGGGAUCCCCCACACUGGUACUGAGACACGGACCAGACUCCUACGGGAGGCAGCAGUGAGGAAUAUUGGACAAUGGAGGCAACUCUGAUCCAGCCAUGCCGCGUGCAGGAUGACUGCCCUAUGGGUUGUAAACUGCUUUUAUACAGGAAGAAACCGCUCUACGUGUAGAGCUCUGACGGUACUGUAAGAAUAAGGAUCGGCUAACUCCGUGCCAGCAGCCGCGGU